This is a long non-coding RNA of Leptopilina heterotoma, 338 nucleotides long. RefSeq lists it as uncharacterized. The transcript is spliced from 3 exons. NCBI's taxonomy places the organism in Eukaryota, Metazoa, Arthropoda, Insecta, Hymenoptera, Figitidae. The record is from RefSeq and is a predicted model, not a curated record.
GUUAGAGUUACUCAGUUUACAAGUAAUUUUAGAAACAGUUUAUUAAUUUGUGUAAUUUUUCAACAGUGUGGAGAUAUUUAAAAGGGAAUCAACAUGGAUUUCGAACGACGCUUCAGAAUAAAUAAAGAGAAAUCAUCGAAACAGUGUAGCAAAAUCAACGAUAAAUUGAGACACUUGGCGAAAAUUGGACUCUCAGAAAGCAGUGCAGGACACCAAAGGCAUGAAAAGCUGCAAUUCCAACCCAGAGAUGAAUAAGGACCAAGGGCACCUAAAGGGUGAUGGAUUUUUCUUCAGUUUUCAAUAAGAAGUCGAAGAAAAUACAGAACCAGAAGUAAUGG